CGGGGGAGGUCGAGCCGCGAGUCCUCGCACGGCCGGCGGCCGUGUGUGGGUACCGGGGCGGGCCCGGACGGUGCCUGGAAGCGCCUGCACAGCCGCGAGGAGCGACGCCGGGGCGCUGCGGAGCCCGGGAGUGCCGGGAACGUUGCGUCCCCCGCCAGCCCCAGGCAGCUGCUGGGGCAUUGCUGCCUGCUGGGGAGCCCGAAGCAGGCCGAAAGGACCCUCAGGCUUUCUGCAGGAGAGCUUCCAAGUGGAUUUUGAGGCAUUUUGAGGUGUUCUGGACAAUCCUAACAAGAGAGUGGAUUAGAGAAGAAUCACCUGUAUGGUUGAUUCUAUGUGACAACAUGAGGAGAGAAUUCAAGCAUUAAAUGGACACAGUAACUGGGCUACCUAAAACAUGACUCUGCAUGAUAAAGCAGGAUUGUACUUUGAAUGCUGCCUCCUGCAAGCAGGUGUGACUACUGGGAAGAAGCAGGGAAGGGAGAAGAAAACCUUCUGUCUGCCUGUCAGGAAGGCUAGUUGAGCAUGGUGAAAGGAUGUCGUGUUGUGAGACAUGAGUAAAACUCUGGCUUUCAAGAAAGCCCCUUCCAGAAGGCCUCUCUGUGUUUGAAAAGCAGUUGAUGCUGUUGGACCCAAUCCUGGUUAGGACGUGUGACUACUACUACAGCAUAUUAGUAUAAAUUGUAAUAACUUGAAUAAGUUGAUCUAUAUUAUUUGCUAUUAAUGUAAUUAUUUUUACUGAGUUUGUAAUCUGUACAAUUUAUUAGUGAAAUUGCUUUCAGAAGUAUGCUGCUCCCCUCACUGCUGAGUGUGUCUGGUCUGCUAGAUUUAUCGCAUUACAAUACAAAUCAGUAUGCAGAGGGCUAUUUAUAAAGUCUUGAAGCUCUGUGCCAGCAAACUUAAAAUUAACAGUGAACAACUAAUUAACAAUUAUACAACUUGAAAGGAGUGCUAAUUAAAAAAGUUUUUAAGAGAUGAGUUUUCAAUCGAAAUACAAAAUAAGUCAGAGACUUGUGUGCCUGAAAUAGAAUUUUGGACCAAUGAGCAGAAAUGCAAAAAAGCACUAGCUGUAUGUGAAACAAAUUUUUAAUUUUCUCUUCAGGUAACUCUCUGCAAGUCUUUAGGAUCAAAAGAAAAUUCACUGUUUUGGAUAGAAAUUAUAAAUCGGUGUAUUUUUCAGUUGUCAUGGUGUUUCAGUCAUUAUAUGUUGGGGUGUGUUCUAUCAUGGAGAUUUUGGCUUAGAGAUCAUGACUGUAUCAAACAUGACUGUUGUCUGAAACAGCAAGACAGAAAUUGUCUGGAAGACUUCAUGUUACUCGCUUAAAAGCGUUCAAGUCUGGUAGUUGGGGGAGCUCUGUAUGUUUUGUGUUGUUUUUCUCUUUUCUUUUUUUUCUGUUAUGUCCUGUUCUUCCCUAGAAUGUCAAGAAUUGGAGCUUCAGAAGUGGUUUAAACACUAUGUGUUUACAAGAAAAAAAGUUGUGAAGGUGCAUAAAUUGAAUAAAGUAGUGUUAAAAAACUGAUUUGUUUGCAGGCUCUCUGAAGAGAUCUUUCAAAGUUGUCUGUUUUCAUGCAUUGUAUCUUACCUAUGAGUAUAUAUGUAGGACGAUGAAGAAGUCACGAGAUUAUUUUUGAUACAGCAGAGUUAUGUCUGCAUGUUAAUUCAGCAGAUGGUACUUGGUUUAUCUGUAUUUGCCUUUGAAUACUGAUGGGUGCAGCUUCUUUAAACAUGAAUCUUUGUCAAACCUUACUUCUUGCAACUAAGUAUAUCUCUAGGAAGACCUCUUUUUUUUUUUUUGAGAUGUUAUUUUUGAUAGUGUGUCUCUUUUCUGGAAAUCAUGUUUUCUAAGGAGUAUGUUUGGCAAUCUAAAGGAAGUAAUGAGAUCUGUGGAGAGGGAAGGCUGAAUUCUACUGAGCAUUAGACUGGAGAUCUGGGUUCGGUACUACCUCACACUUA
Long non-coding RNA from Cygnus olor (mute swan), 1951 nucleotides. RefSeq lists it as uncharacterized. Lineage: Eukaryota; Metazoa; Chordata; Aves; Anseriformes; Anatidae. The transcript has 5 exons. The record is from RefSeq and is a predicted model, not a curated record.